RNAcentral lists this transfer RNA (72 nucleotides) under Pseudourostyla cristata. RNAcentral's name for it is "tRNA-Glu". It matches the Rfam family "tRNA". Rfam says of the family: Transfer RNA (tRNA) molecules are approximately 80 nucleotides in length. Their secondary structure includes four short double-helical elements and three loops (D, anti-codon, and T loops). Further hydrogen bonds mediate the characteristic L-shaped molecular structure. tRNAs have two regions of fundamental functional importance: the anti-codon, which is responsible for specific mRNA codon recognition, and the 3' end, to which the tRNAs corresponding amino acid is attached (by aminoacyl-tRNA synthetases). tRNAs cope with the degeneracy of the genetic code in two manners: having more than one tRNA (with a specific anti-codon) for a particular amino acid; and 'wobble' base-pairing, i.e. permitting non-standard base-pairing at the 3rd anti-codon position. Lineage: Eukaryota; Ciliophora; Spirotrichea; Urostylida; Pseudourostylidae. The record is from RNAcentral.
CGGGCCAUCGUCUAAGGGUUAGGACAUUAGACUUUCAAUUUAAGAAUGAAGGUUCGAAUCCUUCUGGCCCGA